UACGUAGGGUGCGAGCGUUGUCCGGAAUUAUUGGGCGUAAAGAGCUCGUAGGCGGCUUGUCGCGUCGGAUGUGAGAGCCCGGGGCUUAACUCCGGGUCUGCAUUCGAUACGGGCAGGCUAGAGUUCGGUAGGGGAGAUCGGAAUUCCUGGUGUAGCGGUGAAAUGCGCAGAUAUCAGGAGGAACACCGGUGGCGAAGGCGGAUCUCUGGGCCGAUACUGACGCUGAGGAGCGAAAGCGUGGGGAGCGAACAGG
This 253-nucleotide ribosomal RNA is filed under the name uncultured bacterium. RNAcentral's name for it is "partial 16S ribosomal RNA". It matches the Rfam family "Bacterial small subunit ribosomal RNA", at positions 524 to 776 of the family's 1533-position model. The record is from RNAcentral.